This is a long non-coding RNA of Balaenoptera ricei (Rice's whale), 1810 nucleotides long. RefSeq lists it as uncharacterized. The transcript is spliced from 2 exons. NCBI's taxonomy places the organism in Eukaryota, Metazoa, Chordata, Mammalia, Artiodactyla, Balaenopteridae. The record is from RefSeq and is a predicted model, not a curated record.
AUUAUGAUCUUUAAGGCUGAAAAUGUCACCCCCUCCAAAGGCAGCAGGGAGACCUGGCCCCUUAACUCACAGGACAGGCCUGGAAUUGUGGGCACCCAGGCAGGCUGCAGGAUUACCUCCUAUUGGGGGUCCUAUCCCACUCCCUGCUCUGGGUCCAGGCGUCUGCUAAACUGCAAAGAAAAGGCUUCACACAUAAAAGCAAAUGGAACCAGAGGACCUCCCGUGGCACCAGGGGUGGUGUCUGGACAUGCUGUGCGUGGAAUGGGGGAGUGCUGGGCCACUGAGCAAGGGCUCCUCCAUCACUUCUCUUGAAGCAAGAGAGACACAAAACUGUCGCUUUUCUUUCCAUUUGCAUGAUUUUUUUUGAAUUUUAUUUUACUUUUUUAUAGAGCAGGAUCUUAUUAGUUACCCAUUUUAUACAUAUUAGUGUAUGUAUGUCAAUACCAAUCUCCCAACUCAUCACACCACCCCCACACCACUUUCCCCCCUUGGUGUCCAUACGUUUGUUUUCUCCAUCUGUGUCUCUGUUUCUGCCCUGCAAACCAGUUCAUCUGUACCAUUUUUCUAGGUUCCACAUAUAUGCGUUAAUAUACGAUAUUUGUUUUUCUCUUUCUGACUUACUUCACUCUGUAUGACAGUCUCUAGAUUUUUUUCCCUCGUCAUCUUCAGACAGGCAGAGGAUGUGCGCGUGUGGGGUGUGCAGACACACUCCCAAGUUUCUACAGAGAACGGAAAAACAUGAAGGGCUGUCACUUAUUUCUGCAGGAGAAUUAAUGCCUUUUGGGGUCCUGAUGGCCUUGGGCUUCCUGCAGCCUCGCCUGGUGUCUCCUGGCUUCUCUACAGGGCUUUUGCACCUCCCGGCGACCCUCCCUCCUCACCCUCCACCCUUCCUAGUGCGUCUAAGAAGGCUGACGCCAGCAGCAGAGAAUUCGAGCUCUGCCUCUACCUGCCCGCUGUUCUUAGAAGCGUCACAGAACCAAGAGACGCCUGCCACACAGAUUUCAACCCACACGCCUUCUCCUCCCACCUGAACUGCCUCCUGCCAACGACUUUCUCUGCCAACUGCUGACGCCUGGAAGCCAUGUACCCACCAGCCAGUCACGUCUGCCUGGGGAUCUGCAGAAACCUUGGAGGUCCCGGCCCCACCCAGAUGGCCUCCAAGCUCCGACCUCACGCAUCCUGCACAUCCUCCGCAUCCUCUGUGUCCUGGUGCAAGCCAGAGGGGACCUGACCCCACCAGGCCUCCCAGAGGCACCUGCGGAUGGAGGUGGGCUCAGGGCACCGCAAGCGCUGCCCACCCGGCGUGAAGAUCCCCCCACCACCCGAGGCCCAGGGCUUCUCCCACCAGCGCCCUCUACUUCUCUAGAACAUCCAUUAAUUUAGCUACACUUCCUGAGUCUAGACACUUUCUGAAAGUUUGUGCCUAAGAUGAAACCCAGGCUCAUUCUGUCAGUACAUUUCGUUGGAAAAAAGAACAAACAACCUUCCAGAUGUCAUGGGAACUGACCCCACGAACUCCCCUUUUCUCACUGUGAUUGCGAGGUCUUCCCAGCUGUUAUCUUGGUUACAUCCACGUUCCUGACAAACGAUGAGCUCUUCUUUCCCCACCUCGCCUUCUCCAGGCGAGAUCUCAGACGGAUGGAAGAUAUCUCCCGGAAUCCCACAGCCUGCCAGCCCCUCGGAGGGUGGGGGCAGAACUUCACGAACCCUCCAAGUUCCUGAGGGUGUCCGUGUUUUAUCUUUAAUAUGCCUAAAGACAGAUUAGCACCAGGGUAAGGAAGAGUCAACAAAAGCCUGUCUUUACCUGGAA